This 833-nucleotide ribosomal RNA is filed under the name uncultured bacterium. Its description in RNAcentral is "bacterial SSU rRNA". It matches the Rfam family "Bacterial small subunit ribosomal RNA", at positions 91 to 909 of the family's 1533-position model. The record is from RNAcentral.
GCGAGCGGCGGAUGGGUGAGUAACACGUGGGGAACCUGCCCCUAAGUCUGGGAUACCAUUUGGAAACAGGUGCUAAUACCGGAUAAUAAAGCAGAUCGCAUGAUCAGCUUUUGAAAGGCGGCGUAAGCUGUCGCUAAGGGAUGGCCCCGCGGUGCAUUAGCUAGUUGGUAAGGUAACGGCUUACCAAGGCGACGAUGCAUAGCCGAGUUGAGAGACUGAUCGGCCACAUUGGGACUGAGACACGGCCCAAACUCCUACGGGAGGCAGCAGUAGGGAACCUUCCACAAUGGACGCAAGUCUGAUGGAGCAACGCCGCGUGAGUGAAGAAGGUUUUCGGAUCGUAAAGCUCUGUUGUUGGUGAAGAAGGAUAGAGGUAGUAACUGGCCUUUAUUUGACGGUAAUCAACCAGAAAGUCACGGCUAACUACGUGCCAGCAGCCGCGGUAAUACGUAGGUGGCAAGCGUUGUCCGGAUUUAUUGGGCGUAAAGCGAGCGCAGGCGGAAAAAUAAGUCUAAUGUGAAAGCCCUCGGCUUAACCGAGGAACUGCAUCGGAAACUGUUUUUCUUGAGUGCAGAAGAGGAGAGUGGAACUCCAUGUGUAGCGGUGGAAUGCGUAGAUAUAUGGAAGAACACCAGUGGCGAAGGCGGCUCUCUGGUCUGCAACUGACGCUGAGGCUCGAAAGCAUGGGUAGCGAACAGGAUUAGAUACCCUGGUAGUCCAUGCCGUAAACGAUGAGUGCUAAGUGUUGGGAGGUUUCCGCCUCUCAGUGCUGCAGCUAACGCAUUAAGCACUCCGCCUGGGGAGUACGACCGCAAGGUUGAAACUCAAAGGAA